Molecule: non-coding RNA, 2192 nt
Organism: Camellia sinensis
Lineage: Eukaryota; Viridiplantae; Streptophyta; Magnoliopsida; Ericales; Theaceae
Source: RefSeq, a predicted model, not a curated record
AAAAUAUGAUACAUAAUAAAUAUAUAAAAUCAUAUCUUUCGCACAUGUCUCUAACGCGUCGUGUCCUAAAUUUUUUGAAAUUUGCGUGUCCUUGUCCGUGUUGUGUCACGUGUCCGUGUCUGUGUUUCUUAGCAGGCAUACAUGCAGUAGAAUUAAGAAGCAUCGGUCAACAAAAGUGAGAAUGCAGAACAAAUAUAUGAGAUAUGUUUUUGAUCUAAAUGCAUGACCUAUUAAUGAGAAAAACUUUCUACAAAAGAAAUGAAUAUCCACUCUCAGUGUUAACAAUGAUAUUGCUUUAUUCAGUUAUGUUUUCGAUAUUUGUUUUUAGUUGGAAUUUUCUGACGGCUAUCAUGGAAGUUCCUUUCUUUAAGGUCAUUGAUCAUGUUUUUACUUGAUCUCCUUUAGAUGUCUGUAUGGUUUUAAGUAAUGCUUUAUGCCUUCAAUAACAUGCAUCUGUAAAUGCUAUUUUUUAUUAUCUUUUAGCUCCAAAUCAUAGAGGGUGGCUUUAUUAUUGUCUUUGUAUUUCUCUUGUUGAUAUUACUGAAAAUUAUUAGAGCAAAUCAGGUAACAGGGCUGUAUCUUUUUCAAGGUUCAACUACUAGAAAGAGUGCCACCAUUCAUGCAUAUUAAUCAAAAUGAUUUCUGGGGUUGUAAGUCUUUUAUCCUCAUUCUUGUUUCCCUUAUUGAGGAUCUUUCUUUUGCUUGCUGACAACCCAAGCACAACCACAUUUUUUUUCCUCUUUCUUUUUUCUUCCUCUUUCUUUCCUUCAUUGUUUUUUUCUUCUUCAUUUACUUCAUUUCUUUCUCAAUACCCCAUGGCUGAUUCAGCGCAUCACAACCAUUGCCAGGAUAACCAAUCACAUUGGAGCAAAACCCCAUAAACUCAUGCAAAUAAGCCACUGUUUUCUUAACUUCAUUUGGAGCAACACGAUUAUGUUUUUUUUCUUCUUUCUUUGUAUUUAUUGAGUAUGUGCAGCCACAACCCCUGUUUGAUUGAAUAGGCGGUGUUGCGUCUGAGUCGUAGAGUAUGGCAGGAAUUGGAUACUAAAUGAAUCAGAGGCUCAUAAAUUUGCAACUAAAUUCCCUGGGAAGAUGUCACAGAUUUUUUUGUGUUGGAAUUCUUACUUCCUCUUGGUCUUCUGUUUGGCAUCUGACGGUACUACUCCAACACCACUGCCCUGUGGAUCAACUCCACAACCGCACCCACAGACUGUUUGUAUGCUUGAGACAUGCAAACAACGUUUCACCAAAACAAACACAUGUUAAAAAUACAUCAUAAUUCAGAUGAAACAGAAAAUCCAGUACAAAAUUACACAUAAAUUUCUUCAACUUAUGGUUACCUUCAUUCCAUUGGUAAAUGAUAUUUUUGGUUAUGAUUGCCAAGAGAUACUAAACCUUGCAUCAGUCUCUCUUUUUGACCUCUUUUACACAGAGAUGGAGAUGCCGAGGGGAUGACCAGUGGGUGGAACCGCAUACUAUGGCGAUACUGCCCACUUCAACCACCCAAAUUGUGAGACUAGGAAGUGGAUAGUUUUGGGGGAAAUAAGGGUUGGUAUAUUUGUGGAGCAAGAUAUUUCCGUUGAAAAUGAAUUGGCAUAUGAUUAUAAUGUUGAAUGGUAUGGUGGUGCUACGGUUCGAUGUCAGUGUGGGGCACCUAACUGUUCUAAAUUUCUUAGGGCAAAGUCUUCUGCUUUCCUGGUGCAUAAUCAUGUGUUGGAAGACGGCAAUGAAAGGUAAUGGGUUAUGCAUUUAUUACUCAAAAUUUAUAGGCAGUUAUAGUCCUUUUCACCUACGCUUUGUAAUGUUGUAUUGAAACUCAUUUCAAAAUUUGUUACCAAACUUGAUUAUAUAUGUAUGGUAAUUUGUUGAGCACAAAAAGUUGAGGAUUCAUGUUUACCAAAAUGAUCAAUUGCAUAAGGAUUUCAUGAACAAAUUGAAUAUUUAAUUAUAUGCUAGUGUCUCCAUUUUUCCCUUUCCUUUUUGGUGCAAUAGUUGUUGCACUAACUCUCUUUAUUUUAUCAUUUUUACAGGUACCUGUGAGCAAAGAAAAGCAGAAGGUGCUUGUAAAUCAACCUUCAUGCCAAUUAUAGCAACAAACCCCAUUUGGGUGCUCGUGUAUUUCAUUCUCUGAUUGACAUCUUAUCAGUAGUGAUCAUUGUACAUUUUGAGUACAUAAAGCUGCAUUUAAAUCA